RNAcentral lists this ribosomal RNA (1404 nucleotides) under metagenome. RNAcentral's name for it is "bacterial LSU rRNA". It matches the Rfam family "Bacterial large subunit ribosomal RNA", at positions 1501 to 2925 of the family's 2925-position model. The record is from RNAcentral.
GAAAGACCGGUACAAGCGAGGUAGGAGAAGAGUUGGCAAAUCCGCUCUUUAAUCUGAAGACGUGAUGUGGACUGAAAAUAAGUAGGGAAGCACGUGAGCUGACUGUCAAGAAAAGCCGCUAUUGUUUGCAGGAUACCCGUUCCGUAAACCGACACAGGUGGAUGAGGAGAGAAUCCUAAGGCCGACGGGAGAAGCAUUGUUAAGGAACUCGGCAAAAUGACUCCGUAACUUCGGGAGGAGGAGUGCCAGUAAGAUGGCCGCAGAGAAUUGGCCCAAGCAACUGUUUAGCAAAAACACAGGUCUAUGCAAAACCGAAAGGUGAGGUAUAUGGGCUGACGCCUGCCCGGUGCUGGAAGGUUAAGGGGAGAGGUUAGCGCAAGCGAAGCUUUGAACUUAAGCCCCAGUAAACGGCGGCCGUAACUAUAACGGUCCUAAGGUAGCGAAAUUCCUUGUCGGGUAAGUUCCGACCCGCACGAAAGGCGUAAUGAUUUGGGCACUGUCUCAACAAUGCACCCGUUGAAAUUGAAAUACCAGUGAAGAUGCUGGUUACCUGCGCCAGGACGGAAAGACCCCAUGGAGCUUUACUCCAGCUUGAUACUGGGAUUCGGUAUUGCAUGUACAGGAUUGGUGGGAGGCUAGGAAAUGGUAACGCCAGUUGCCAUGGAGCCAAUGUUGGGAUACCACCCUUGCAGUACUGGGUUUCUAACCAGCAGCCGUGAUCCGGCUGGGGGACAAUGUCAGGUGGGGAGUUUGACUGGGGCGGUCGCCUCCGAAAGGGUAUCGGAGGCGCUCAAAGGUUCCCUCAGAAUGGUUGGAAACCAUUCGAAGAGUGCAAAGGCAGAAGGGAGCUUGACUGCGACACCGACGGGUGGAGCAGGUACGAAAGUAGGACUUAGUGAUCCGGUGGUAUAAAGUGGGAUUGCCAUCGCUCAACGGAUAAAAGCUACCCUGGGAUAACAGGCUUAUCACUCCCAAGAGUUCACAUCGACGGGGUGGUUUGGCACCCGAUGUCGGCUCAUCGCAUCCUGGGGCUGAAGUAGGUCCCAAGGGUUGGGCUGUUCGCCCAUUAAAGCGGUACGCGAGCUGGGUUCAGAACGUCGUGAGACAGUUCGGUCCCUAUCCGGCGUGGGCGUAAGAUAUUUGAGAGGAGCUGUCCUUAGUACGAGAGGACCGGGAUGGACUGGCCGCUGGUGUAUCUGUUGUCUUACCAAAGGCAUAGCAGAGUAGCCAAGCCGGGAAGGGAUAAACGCUGAAGGCAUCUAAGCGUGAAGCCCCCCUCAAGAUGAGAUAUCUCAUAACGUCAAGUUAGUAAGACCCCUUGAAGACGACGAGGUAGAUAGGGCAGAGGUGGAAGUGUGGUAACACAUGGAGCUGACUGUUACUAAUAGGUCGAGGGCAUAACCG